RNAcentral lists this unclassified non-coding RNA (146 nucleotides) under soil metagenome. RNAcentral's name for it is "partial internal transcribed spacer 1". The record is from RNAcentral.
CCGAGUUUACAACUCCCAAACCCCUAUGAACAUACCUAUAUGUUGCCUCGGCGGAUCAGCCGCUCCCGUAAAACGGGACGGCCCGCCAGAGGACCCCUAAACUCUGUUUUAUAUGCAACUUCUGAGUAACAAACCAUAAUAAAUCA